This 253-nucleotide ribosomal RNA is filed under the name uncultured bacterium. RNAcentral's name for it is "partial 16S ribosomal RNA". It matches the Rfam family "Bacterial small subunit ribosomal RNA", at positions 524 to 776 of the family's 1533-position model. The record is from RNAcentral.
UACAGAGGUCUCGAGCGUUGUUUGGAUUCAUUGGGCGUAAAGGGUGCGUAGGUGGCGCUGUAAGUCGGGUGUGAAAUUUCGGAGCUUAACUCCGAAACUGCAUUCGAUACUGCGGUGCUUGAGGACUGGAGAGGAGACUGGAAUUCAUGGUGUAGCAGUGAAAUGCGUAGAGAUCAUGAGGAAGACCAGUGGCGAAGGCGGGUCUCUGGACAGUUCCUGACACUGAGGCACGAAGGCCAGGGGAGCAAACGGG